RNAcentral lists this unclassified non-coding RNA (229 nucleotides) under uncultured Geminibasidium. Its description in RNAcentral is "sequence contains ITS2". Lineage: Eukaryota; Fungi; Basidiomycota; Geminibasidiomycetes; Geminibasidiales; Geminibasidiaceae. The record is from RNAcentral.
ACACCUCAACCCUCCAGUGUUUUUUGCAUUGCAGGUGUUGGUAGUGAGCGCUGCCGGUCUUUGGAUCGGCUCGCUUUAAAAUCAUUAGCUGGAUCCAUUCUGACCUGGUUCUACUCGGCGUAAUAAGUUAUUAUCGUCGAGGACGCCUGGCCUUUGUAGGCAGGGCGGCCACAGUAAGGGUGUUUGAACCGCUUCCAACACGUCUUGCUCUUGUAGCAAACACUUGAAC